GAUGAACGCUGGCGGCGUGCCUAAUACAUGCAAGUCGAGCGAACAGACGAGGAGCUUGCUCCUCUGACGUUAGCGGCGGACGGGUGAGUAACACGUGGAUAACCUACCUAUAAGACUGGGAUAACUUCGGGAAACCGGAGCUAAUACCGGAUAAUAUUUUGAACCGCAUGGUUCAAAAGUGAAAGACGGUUUUGCUGUCACUUAUAGAUGGAUCCGCGCCGCAUUAGCUAGUUGGUAAGGUAACGGCUUACCAAGGCAACGAUGCGUAGCCGACCUGAGAGGGUGAUCGGCCACACUGGAACUGAGACACGGUCCAGACUCCUACGGGAGGCAGCAGUAGGGAAUCUUCCGCAAUGGGCGAAAGCCUGACGGAGCAACGCCGCGUGAGUGAUGAAGGUCUUCGGAUCGUAAAACUCUGUUAUUAGGGAAGAACAUAUGUGUAAGUAACUAUGCACGUCUUGACGGUACCUAAUCAGAAAGCCACGGCUAACUACGUG
RNAcentral lists this ribosomal RNA (497 nucleotides) under uncultured bacterium. Its description in RNAcentral is "partial 16S ribosomal RNA". It matches the Rfam family "Bacterial small subunit ribosomal RNA", at positions 28 to 507 of the family's 1533-position model. The record is from RNAcentral.